UUAAUUGAAGAGUUUGAUCAUGGCUCAGAUUGAACGCUGGCGGCAGGCCUAACACAUGCAAGUCGAGCGGCAGCGACUUAACUGAACCUUCGGGGAAUGUUAAGGGCGGCGAGCGGCGGACGGGUGAGUAAUGCCUGGGAAUAUGCCCUGAUGUGGGGGAUAACUAUUGGAAACGAUAGCUAAUACCGCAUAAUCUCUUCGGAGCAAAGAGGGGGACCUUUGGGCCUCUCGCGUCAGGAUUAGCCCAGGUGGGAUUAGCUUGUUGGUGAGGUAAUGGCUCACCAAGGCAACGAUCCCUAGCUGGUCUGAGAGGAUGAUCAGCCACACUGGAACUGAGACACGGUCCAGACUCCUACGGGAGGCAGCAGUGGGGAAUAUUGCACAAUGGGGGGAACCCUGAUGCAGCCAUGCCGCGUGUGUGAAGAAGGCCUUCGGGUUGUAAAGCACUUUCAGUAGGGAGGAAGGUAGUGUAGUUAACACCUGCAUUAUUUGACGUUACCUACAGAAGAAGCACCGGCUA
Molecule: ribosomal RNA, 520 nt
Filed under: Photobacterium leiognathi subsp. mandapamensis
Lineage: Bacteria; Pseudomonadati; Pseudomonadota; Gammaproteobacteria; Vibrionales; Vibrionaceae
Description: bacterial SSU rRNA
Rfam family: Bacterial small subunit ribosomal RNA
Source: RNAcentral